Molecule: transfer-messenger RNA, 368 nt
Filed under: bacterium
Lineage: Bacteria
Also listed under: 1 other name
Rfam family: transfer-messenger RNA
About the family: Bacterial tmRNA, also known as 10Sa RNA or SsrA, is named for its dual tRNA and mRNA-like properties. Its role is to liberate the mRNA from a stalled ribosome.
Source: RNAcentral
GGGCACGAAUAAGGCAUUGACAAGGAGAUUAAUUGCUCAGGAUGCAGGCCGAGUUUCCUAGGCACUCGUUAACGAACUAGGGGCACCAAAAAUGCCAACAUAUUUUCCCCGCAAAGGGAACUUGCCUACGCAUAAAAGCGCUUAGGCCAUCUGACUCAGGGACUCUCGAUAACUGAGCCGGGUGUCAACACAUCGAGAUCUAGGGUAGCUUCUGAAAUAAGCCCAGGAAACUACCUAAAACAGCAGGGCUAAAAGGAGAAGAUUUUGCCCAGUUCACGACUUCUCUUGUUUCUCAAAACUGGGAUAUGCCUGUAGAGUUCGGAGUGAUUACUUCUUGGACGUGGGGUCGGGACCCGCCGUGUCCACAA